AAAAAGAUAAGCUAAAUAAAGCUUUUAGGCCCAUGCCCUAACGAUAGGAUAAAAUCCUUCUUUUUA
Molecule: transfer RNA, 66 nt
Filed under: Ceratocombus sp. HL-2012
Lineage: Eukaryota; Metazoa; Arthropoda; Insecta; Hemiptera; Ceratocombidae
Description: tRNA-Met
Source: RNAcentral